UUGUUUCCUUCCAUGCUCAAAUGCCUAACUUGUCUACUUUUUAUUCAAGCACCUCACAUGAAAAAUAUCUAUACAUACAAAAAGUGGUACUUUGCUAACUCCUUUUUUUAUGAAAGCUAGCUAUAGAGCAACACAAUAAGUGUCUUACCCUUUGCACAUUCUAUACAUGUUAAUUUUGGGUUGCAGCCACUUGAUGAAAUAACUAAAAUGACUUGUGUUUGUGUCUUUCUAUUUCAUUGCUACAUGAAUUUGUCUCUCACCAUAUGCAAAAGGUAUGUUAUAUGUACCUUUUUAAUUAAUAUCACCAUUAUCUUUUAUAUUUUCAUCUAUCUAUGUUCACUUUAAUUUAAAUUUAUACAUGUAAUAUAGUUUAUAUAUUUAGGGUUUGACCAAACCAUAUGCAACACCAUAUAUAAGAAUAUUUUAUAUAAAUAUAUAUCUAGGUUAGUGUACCUAAUAGCUUAGUGUUUUUGUGUUACUUUUACUUUGGUUAAUUCUAGGAAUCAAUUGCAUAAUUGGCUAAUAAUUAAGUAGAGAGAUAAAACUAUAUGAAACUAAAUAAUAUUUAAUACUUUCUUAUCACUCUUUUAUAUUUCCCUCUAUUAGUUUGAACUAGCUUAAAUCAACUUUUUUUAAUAUGUUUGAAGCUUAAUGAAACUUCUUUAUUUCAACAACCAACAUGAUUAGACAUGUGGACCUUAUAAUGAUCUCAAAUAGACACCAACUAGUUGAAUGGAGUGUUAAUGAUCAUUCUAGUAUAGAACUUACCAAAAUGGGUUAGUGGCUUUAUGAAGAUUAAGAGAGAUUGGUGAAAAACUUUGGUUAGUAGCAUUAAAAUAAAGUUUAAUUCAUUUAGCUUAUAAAGGAAAAUAUUCUAUAUACAAAAAUUUCUAUAGUUGCUAUACUUUUACACAUUUGUUAUACAAGACAAAAUUAUAAACACACUAUGAAAAAUUUAUUGCAUAUGCAUGAUGAAUAUAUAGUAAAAAAAUGAAUGAUAUAUUAAUUGAAUUUCUAUACACUAUUUUUAACCAUAUGUAUGUAGAAAAUUAAUUUAAGAGAUGGAAAAUAUUGAAAUAUAAAAAAGUAAAAAUUAUUGAGAAGGUAAAGGCAAGUGGAGUUUGGUAUAGUGUGGAAUGCUCAAAGGUUUAAAAUGGAAUCAAAAUCAGCAUCCAACAAAAAACAAAUAGAAACUAAAGAAAAUAAUAACCAACCAAAAAACCAAACUUCCUCCUCGUAUCUCAAACUGAAAAACAGCUUUAUCAAAGUACAAAGCAAUUAAACAAAUUAAAUCCUUAACACACAUCUUAAUUAAUUACACAAAAGAUGAUCAUAAACAAAUCAUAACAAAAAAAGAAGACAAUAAAAAAAAAGUAGAUAACUAAAAUAAGAAUAGAACAAGAUCUCAACAAACUUUGCACACUUCUCUUCAUAAAAGCAACCUCCUCAAUAAAUUACCUUUCACUUUUACCCCUUAAUUUACACACAUCAACCUUCAAAACUAUAUAUAUAUAUAUAUAUAUAUAGUACCACUCCCAAACUCUCAAGUAGCAUAUAUAAUAUAUAUACUAAAUAUAUUACAAGAAUACCAUAUAUAUAUAUAUAUACUUGUUUGAUAUAUAUAAUGAAACAGGUUCAAGUACCAUUAGAGUGAGGGGAAGAACAUUCAGAAACAACUUCAUUUUCAACUUCUCUUUUGUGAAAGUUUCUAUGACAACCACAAGCAGCACAAAUUAAAGCAACACUUGUACCUUCUUCACCACUUGCCAUAAAUUCUCUACAACCAUCAACAGCAUAACCUCCAACAUUAGCUGCAUGAUUCUUUUGACACUCUCCAUAUUUCACACUUCUUUGUUGAUCUUCACAUGAUGAUGUUCUUCUCACAACUACUUGUCUCUUCCUCAUCUUCUAAAAUAUUUUUUUCUUCAAAUUUUUCUUGCUUCAAACCCUGCAAAAAUUAUGUUGAAUUUUUUUCAAAAAUGUUUUGUUGAAACAAAAACAUAAACUUCAAUAGAAAGAAAUUAAGUAGAGAGAGAGAGAGAGAGAGAAAAGAGAGAGAGAGAGAGAGACAAGAGGAGGAGAGGUUACUCUGUGUAUGCUGAGCCCUAACCCUAAAAAUGUGAGAAUGUGUAUUUAUAUGGUAAACUCGAUCUCCUCAAUUAAUAUUUAAAUGUUAGCCAAUAAGUGAAGCCAGCUCAUAAUCACUUUAUUUAGUUUUUUUUUUACUGUAUCUAUCUACAAUUCAAUCAUGUAAUUUUUAAGUAACGGUGGUUUAUCUCAACUUAGAAGUUUUAAUUAAUGUGGAAAUAAUUAUAUGGAUUGUCAUACAUUUAAUAAACCUACCUGCUAUAUAAUUUAUUAUAAAUAUAAGAAAUUUGUUUGACAUAUAUUAAAUAAGUAAAUUCAACUUUUGCCUAAAAAAAGUAAAUUCAACUUUCCACCAUAAAAUUCUAUUAUAUUCUAAAAAAAGGAAAUUAUACUAUAUGUUAUUUUUAAAAAUGUGUUUCACAUUUAUAUCUUGAAGAUUAAAAAAAAUUAAAGUAGUUAGAAGAAGAGACUCCACUUUCUCAAGAGGCAUUAAGAGAUUCAUAAAGUUAGAAGAUACUUUGCACCUAUAAUUAAUAUAACAAAACUAUAUAAUUUGUAAGGAUAAAAAAAUAAAGUUAAUUGAAGAUUACAAUAGAAGAAAGUAGGGAUGUCAUACACACAAAUAAAUUGUAAUAUAUUUAUUUCUUUAAAGUAAAUAGUAAUAUUUUGAACAAAUAAUAAAUGAAUUAUUAUUUUUAAAUAGUUUAAAAUAUUAUUAAUGAAAUUUUUCUUAUAAAAUAUUAUAUUACUUAAUAGUUAGCGAAAGCAAAAGGAUUAUUUUUUUAUUUCUAGAAUGUAAUUCCGAGUGUAAAAUUAUAUUACACAAAAAUAUUUAAUCAUAUCUCAACAUUUUGAUAUUUUACAAGUAUAAAUUUAGAAAAACAUACAGUGAUAUGAUGUUGCAAUGAAAUGUGUAAAAAUAAUUUACACAAUCUUAUUUCAGUAUAAAUAUAUUUUGUACACUUUAAUUGCAUAAAUAUGAAGAUGAGAUUAAUUACUAUGUAACAUCUAUGUAGUCAGAUUCAAUUGAUUUACCAUAUAAAAAAGUUACAAUAUUAAUGCAUAGUCUUUAAACUCUACUAUGCAUAGAGUUUAUAAGGCCUUUAAUAGUGAUGCGUUUAAAUUAGAAAAUUUUAUGCUUUUCACCUAAAUAGAGAUGGGUUUAGUUAGCAAAACAAUAAAGUUGGGUUUGAUUUGGAAUGAUCAGCUAAGCCAGAUUUAAGUCUCACGUACCGUGGCCCCUAAUUUGAUAGUAAAAGGCAAUUUUGUGGGGUGCAUUGAUUCGAUACCAAUAACAUUUGUCUAUAGCACUUGACCUAAAAACGUGACCACGAUAGAUAAGCUAUGUCAACCCUGUAAGACAAUAUAUUUUUUCACAAUAUAUGAUUCAUUUAAUUUGUUUGCAUGUACAUGUACUUAAUUACUUCUAUAUAAAACUAUUAGAAACAAUAUUUAAUACUUACAUUAACCACUACACGCAAAAACCUAUUUUACAGCGUUUUUUCAAAAAAAAUAAGCGUUGUAGCAUCCAGCGCCGUAAAAGAUACAACAGCGCUUUUUAAAAUAAAAAAGUGCUAUAAAAUAGGUAGAUAUAUUGCGCGCUUGUUAUACUCAUUUUACAUCACUUUUUGAAAAAAACGUUAUAAAAGAUGUAUUCAAUAGAUGCAUUUUUAUGCACCUAUUACAGCGUUUUUUUGAAAAAAAUGUUGUAAAAGGUGCAUUCAAUAGAUGCAUUAUUAUGCACCUAUUACAGAGCUGUCUUUUAAUUUUUUUUUCAAAAUUAUUUUCAUCCAGAAUCAGUUCACACAAUCAUUUCACAACCAGUACACAACAACAGAACUAUAUAACUUUAUAAUUUAACUUUAUAACUUUACAUAUUUACACAAUCAGUUCACAACAUAUUCAUAUACAUAUUCACAUAUUGACAACAGCACAAAACUAUAUACAUAUUCAUAUAACUACAUAUUCACAACUUUUCAAAUGUGUCAUAUUCAUAUACAUAUAACUAUUAGAACUACACAUAACAGAACUACCAUAUAUUCAUAUAACUAUCCCUUGUAGCAUGCCAUUUCCCAGGAAAUCAAAUAAUUUUCAUUUCAAUCAUAUACUGACAUCAGUAUUCGUUUAUUUCAAUUAGAUCUCUUUCAGAGUAUGUUGGACUGGAAUUGUCAAAGUACUGUGCGAAUAAUGACAUCAGUCUUCCUUUAUUUCAACAUAGUUUAUAUAUGAAAAUCAAAUAAUGAAAAUACCGUAUCGUUUCUAGGAUUAUAGUUUGAUUCAUAUCAACAAUCUCCUUCAUGAAUUGCAAUAUAUAGUACCCACAGUCGAUGUUGUUAGUUUGACGAGGGCACUAUAAAAUAAAACAUAUAAGUCAAUAAAUAUCUGUGCAUUGAUAGCAGUAUAAGUUCAACAUGCAUUUUAGUGAAACAAAAAACUAAUAAAUAUAAUACCUGAAAAACAAAAGAAGAAUAGGGUUACAGCGCAUAAAUACGAACGGUUUGUAAGACAGUAGGAUUCGCAGCAACAAAGAUGGUUCGCGAUGACAAGGAGAAUGAAUAGGAAACAAGCGUAUGAAGUUUACGUAAUGAGGGUUAGUAACAAGACAAUAUUGUUCGUAGGGUUCACAAUGAGAAAGAGAAUGAAGAGGAGGAGGAAACAAGCGUACAAAGUUUACGUAAUGAAAAGAAAACUGAAGCAGUUUAGGGUUUAGGGAUAGUAUUUGAAUGAGAGUUGGUAGGGAUAGUAACAAAGGUGGAGAUGGUUUGCAAUGGAGAUGGUUGGCAAUAUGGUUCGUAUGGAUAGUAGGGUUCGCAAUGAGAAGGACAAUGAAGAGGAGGAUGACUCUGAAGCGUAGUGAAGUUUACGAAAUGAAGAGGAAACUGAAGCGGUUUACUGUUAUAUAUAAAACACUAUUAUAGCACUCAUUGAAAGAGCGAUGUAAAAGACCUCCUUAGCUUAGUUUUUAAAAAUCUGUUACAGCGCCCUUUGAAAGAGCGUUGUAAAAGACUUUCUUAACUUAAUUUUUAAAAGCCUAUUACAACGCUCUUUGAAAUUGCGCUGUAAAAGACCUCAUUAACUUAAUUUUUAAUAGUCUAUUACAGCACUUUUUAAUGUUAACUUUUUAUUUGAAGUUAGUUAUUUAAUUAAUAUUAUUUGAUUUUUAUUUUGACAGUGACGUUAUUGUAUUGAUUGAGAAGAGUUGUUAUUUGUUCAUAACUUUCAAGUCAAACACUACUCUAUAUAAAGUAAUUAUAUAAUGUCUUUUAAAUAUAAAUUAGUAUUUUAUACAUUAGUAUUGAAAAAAGUUAAAUUUAUUCCAAAAGAAGGUUAAAUGGUUAUAUAAUAUUUUUUUUAAAUUAAAAUUUUACUCUAAAAUGUCGAAUAUAUUAUUUUUACAGUUUGUUAUAAUAUUAUUUUUAAAGUUUAAUGUUAGUAAAAUUUGUUAAAAAAGUGUUAGUAAAAUAUUUGUACUGUAAAAAUUUUACCCAAAUUAAAAUGUUAUCUUUUUUUAUUGUAGUUAUUUAUUUUGUUAUGGUUUAUUAUGUUAGUAAAAUGUUAUUUUCUUAAGAAAUUGUAAAUUUUUUCAAAAACCAAAUAAUACUUAUUUAAAAGAAAGUAAUUUCAUAAUAUUUUAAAAAGACAUAAAACGUUCAUAUUUUAAAAUGCUAUAGUAGAGUUGUAAAAAAAAAAAUUAAAUAGAGAUUACGUUGUUAAUGUAUAUAUGAUAAAUAAAAUUUAAAGCAUGUGAAAAAUGUAUUCAUUUUAAUGUAAUUGUUUUUUAAAAAAUAUAAGUUAAUUUUUAAUAGCAUAUUACAGUGUUCUUUCAAAGGGCGCUGUAAAAGACUUCCUUAACUUAAUUUUUAAAAGCCUAUUACAACGUUCUUUGAAAGAGCGAUGUAAAAGAACUCCUUAUUUUAUUUUUUAAAAGCCUAUUAUAGCGCUCUUUGAAAGAGUGCUGUAAAAAACCUCCUUAUUUUAUUUUUUAAAAGUCUAUUACAACGUUUUUUCAACAAGCGCUUUAAAAGACCUCUUAACUUAGUAUAAAACAAAUAAUUAGUAAAAUACUUAUAUUUGGAUUUAUUUUUUCUUCCAAAUAAUUAGUUAAAUACCUAUAUAUAUAUCACAUGAUCAGAUCAUAUUGGGAUGAUCAAUUAAAGUUCAAGAAAAAUUCUCAGUGCUCAAACAAAGCUUUUUCAAAUUCAAUAUAAGCAAAAAAUCAGUUCUGACAAGUCAAACACUUAAAUUACAUGAACUUUGUAUAAAACACUAAGAUCAAGCUAAAUAUAAGCAGAAAAAUAAGUAUAAACAGAAAAUCAAAUACAGUUCAAGCUAAAUAUUAAAAUGCUCAAUUCUGGCAGAUCAAACAAUAAAAUCACAUGAACUCAGUUCAGAUUACAUGGCUUAUUAUUAUUAUUAUUAUUAUUAUUAUUAUUAUUAUUAUUAUUAUUAUUAUUAUUAUUAUUAUUAUUAUUAUUAUUAUUAUGCAAAAAUGAUCAAUUACUUCCAUGAUUAAAAUGUCUUAAGCAUUGUUAUUGGUUGGAACUUUAAAUACUAAUUAUCACACAAUAAGUUACACUAUUUAUAUGCUUGCAAAUUAUAAGAUUUGUGUCCAACAUAUAACUAUAUAUGACUCAUAUAUCAUUGUAACAAGUGUAUCUUGAAAAGUAUAAUACAAACAAUAUCUUCUACAUUUUAUCUGUAUUCUUCUUUAAUUAUUAUCAAGAAUAUCUUGCUAUGUUUUCCACUAAAACAAAAGAAUAUCUUUCCAUGGUUUUGCCGUGAUGAAACUUUGGUGUACUUUUUCACAAUUUUGUAUUGUAAUUAUUAUAUAGAAUAUAUUUUUCCUCUAUGAUUGAAGAAAUAUAGAUUUUUUGUAUAUCUUUGAAGGUAUACAAGUAUUUUGGGGUAAGGGGAAUCCAAUAGAAAGGAACUACAUUGGGUAAAACAAUUGCCAAUUAUUGAAUUAAGCUUGAAUUCAUCGCCAUUUUUUUAUAAAAUUGUUCAAUGUAGUGUGUUUAAUUUUAUGUUACAUAUAUAUUAGUAUGUGUUUUUUUAUUUGUCACGGUUUUAUCUCUUAUCGUUUUUAACGAGCCAAUUAUUAUUUGUGCCUUGGACUAUUUUAUUGAGUUUUAAUCUAGCUCUUCAAUGUCUUUUAUUUUUUUUAUUUACUUUAUAACAAUAUUAGCGUGCAUACGAAGAUUCUAAUUGUGUAUUUUUUAAAUGUACCAACAUUUGUGGAGUUUAUUAUGCUUCUUUAUAUAAUUUUGAUUACGAUUUAUAAAUUAUUUAUAUUUUACAUGCUUUUUGUAUUUAUCAAUAAUUUAGUAAAAUUUGUAGUGCACAAAUAUUAAAACUAUAAGCAAAUUGAUUCAAAACUGUUGGCCAUGAUCAACAAAAUAGAACAAUGAUAUGGAAUUUCGCAAGUCUUGACAACGAAUUAAAAUGCUCUUAAAAACGACAACAACAAUAUAUAAAUUUUGAAUUUUUUUUUCACAAUUAUCAAUACUAGAUGCUAACCCGUGCGAUGCAUGGAUAUAUUUUAAUUUAUUUAAUUUAAGUGGAUUUUAAAAAAAAUCAAUAUAAAGUUUUAUGUCUCAAUUGUCAAAUGAUUAUUGAUACAGUAGUUAUAUCAAUAAUAUAUAUUCAAAUUUAUCAAUGUAAUUUAUAGAAGAUAAGUAUCCAACAAUAAAAAAACACGUAUAAAUAGUCGAAAUAUAUUUUAGGGAUAAACAAAAGAGAUAUAUGUACUCUCAAUUCAGAAGAAGUUGAAGAAAUUUUGCAUGUUAUUAAGUUCAAUAUUAUAUAUUCUGAAAAGAUGUAUACAAUUGCUAGCAAAUAAGUAGAUGGCAAGUAGAUACAAAAAUGUGAAGUUUAUUAAUUCAGACAAAAAAACGUAUAAAUAGAUGGCGAAAAUGUGAAGUUGAUUAAUGGAGACAAACAAAAAACGUAUUGAGUAGUAAUUAACGUCGAAUUAAUAUAAAAGAUGUUGGACAAACGUUAUGAAAUAAUAAUAUGACGUUAUGAAAUAAUAAUGUGAAAUUAGUUUAGAAAAUUUUGAGUAGCUAAUGUUUUCAAUAGCUUGAUUUUAUUAAACUAGAAUAUCUUGGGAAAAGUAGCUAAUGUUCUCAAUAUUCUUGAGAAAAUUUUGAGGGUACUAAACUAGAAUCAUGAGUAAAGUUGUUCCUUAAUAGGUUGAUCGUAAUAAGUUAGAAACUUGAGAAGACUAUAAUAUAGUCAAUUGAACAUAAGUAUCCUUUAAUGAAAAAGAUAAAUUAGUUUGGUUUAGUAGAAAAAUCUUCUAUAUAGAAGAAAAUAGACAUAACUACUAGUUGCAUUGUGAACUACGAUAAAGUCUUGUUUCUAUCUUAUUUCCUUUAACUUUAUCUGUAGCUUGUAGUAGAUUUAGGUUAAAAAGACAUUCUAAUAACCUUUUUCAACUUAUAUUGUACUUUUAAAAGUUAUGUCUUUGGUAGGAAGUUCAACAUUUUGAGUCUUUUAGCUAUGAAAGUGUUUAUGUUGAUUAUUUCUCCUUAACCAAACAAUUAUUGAAGUAUUGUUUAUCUUUUUUGUUCAGCUAUUGUAGGUGAGUAGUUGAAAUGGAAUCAUGCAACGUAAA
This 8704-nucleotide long non-coding RNA is filed under the name Cicer arietinum (chickpea). RNAcentral describes it as "long non-coding RNA (CARI_LNC000384)". Lineage: Eukaryota; Viridiplantae; Streptophyta; Magnoliopsida; Fabales; Fabaceae. The record is from RNAcentral.